GUUUAAAAAGAACACUAGAUUGUGAAUCUAGUAAUAAGAGAUCAANCCUCUUUAUUUACC
Molecule: transfer RNA, 60 nt
Filed under: Camelus knoblochi
Lineage: Eukaryota; Metazoa; Chordata; Mammalia; Artiodactyla; Camelidae
Description: partial tRNA-His
Rfam family: tRNA
About the family: Transfer RNA (tRNA) molecules are approximately 80 nucleotides in length. Their secondary structure includes four short double-helical elements and three loops (D, anti-codon, and T loops).
Source: RNAcentral